CUAACCUGUGUUCAUGUUGCAUCUUUUACAUGUCUCUUUAAUUUCCAUGCAUGUUUUACGAAAUUCUUCUGAUAUUGUUUAAAUAAUACUAUAAUUCGAUCAGUGGGUCAACUUUUGCAAAGCCUUGCUGUUGGAAGCAACGUGGUAUCACAAAGGCCAUAUACCAAAACUUGAAGAGUACCUUGAUAAUGGAUGGAUCUCAUCUUCCGGCCCUUUACUUUCUUUACAUGUGAUUUUUGGUCUAACAAAUAAAAUAACAAAAGAAACCCUUGAUUUAUACGAAGAUUGCCGUGAAAUUAUUUACCACACUUCGGUUGUGAUUCGACUUUGCAAUGACCAGGGUACCUCAGCGGCGGAGCUAGAGAGAGGUGAUGUUGCUUCAUCAAUUUUAUGUUACAUGCAACAAGAAAAUGUUUCAGAGGAUGUAGCCCGAGAGCAUAUCGAAAGCCUAAUUUUGGAUUCGUGGAAAAAGAUCAAUUACCAUUUCAAUACUCUUUCUACAUCACAUCGAAAACUUCUCAAGCAUGUAGUAAAUGAAGCACGGAUGGCACAUGUCAUGUACCAAUUUGGAGAUGGAUUUGGGGUUCAAGAUGGUGAAACUCGAGAUCAAGUCAUGUUCAACUUGGUUCGUCCUAUUACAUAAUUUCUGUGAUAAUUUAAUUUCGGCCUAUUCACUUUCGUCCUAUUCAUAUUCAUGGUGGUCUGACAUACUUGUAAUUUGCCAGGCGAAGUAUUACAAAUAAAAAUCAAUUAACAUUUCUUGAAGAAA
Nicotiana attenuata is the source of this 769-nucleotide long non-coding RNA. RefSeq lists it as uncharacterized. Lineage: Eukaryota; Viridiplantae; Streptophyta; Magnoliopsida; Solanales; Solanaceae. The record is from RefSeq and is a predicted model, not a curated record. The transcript is spliced from 2 exons.